UCCGGCUCCCAAUCCGGGAGAAUUCUGAUGACAGUGCAGUUCGACGGACUAACGUCGUAACAAAGAGUUUGGGGAAAGAGAGGAAACCUGAUGCAACCCGACCAAGACCGGAGCUGGAACGUCCGCACGACCAGUUCGCACGAGACGGGGGACCAGGAGCAACGACUUCGAUUAUUUUUUAUUCUGUUGUUAGUUAAAUCUCUGUGUAGUUAGAAUAAUGAACUGAAAAUAACUGCUUAGGCCAACAAUGUAAUUAGAAAACAAAUAUAAAUACUAAGGAGAUCGCAGGAGUCGAUAUCCAUUUUUUUGAGAAAGUAAUUCCAGUUUCCCUCUCCGGCUCUUUAAUUAGGGAGACAUCUUUUCCAACCUCCGACUUCCGUUCUGGAAGAUUUCCUCCAACGACUCGUCGACGACGACAAGUAACGUGUUACACCUACUUUUGGAAUUGCAAAUUAGUAAGAUGGGGGGAGAGCUGCAACAAAUCAAAGCUACUGUUACAAACAACUUGAAGUGGACUGCAAUAUAGGAAGAAGCGAUGUUAUUUCGUGCAAACUAGAACCAUUUUGCGAUUAUUUAAUUUGGCCGCCAUGAAGUGAUAUAUCAAAAACAUAAAAGAAUAUAUGGACAUUUAAAAAAUAACAUACCUAAAUAAGGAUGUUUUACCUUGACAUAUGCUCACAAAAGAGCUGAUGACUGUAGAUGUUGAAGGGAAAAAGGUGUGGAAACAGUCGGCGGCUAUUAUUGAAGACUAUUUUACAAAAAUUAAAAAAUAUAUAUAUUUAGAUGAAAUUGUCAAAUCUGAAAAAGUUUUAAAUUGAUAACAAUUCA
Molecule: long non-coding RNA, 828 nt
Filed under: Zostera marina
Lineage: Eukaryota; Viridiplantae; Streptophyta; Magnoliopsida; Alismatales; Zosteraceae
Description: long non-coding RNA (ZMAR_LNC004316)
Source: RNAcentral